CAUAUACUAAAUGGAUUUUAUUAAAAUUUUUUGGAUUAUCACAAUCUGGCAUAUGUUAAUGUUUAGCAACAACAUUGAUUUUGAUGCAUUAUUAUUUUUUUGUGCAUUGUCAGAUAAAAAAACAACACCACAGGGCCUUUAGAUUCAUAUUAUUGUCCACUUUCACUGACUUAAAAAAAAAAAAGAAUUUUCAGGAUUUUAACACUUUAAAUGCCAGUGUGUUUACAUAAUGGCACUGUUGUUGUUUUUUACACACACACAAUUUUUUCAAUUUAUUCAUUUGGACAAAAAAUAGGAGAAAAGCAUGUAUUUGCGCCAUAGGCUAAACAUGAGAAAAAUGGUGCCAUCUGGUGGAAAAUGUUAAAUAAAAAUGUGAAGCUCCAGAAUGAAAGCAUAAUAUAUAAUUCACUUUAAAACACAAAAAGUUAUUUGUUGAAUUUGAAAGUUUCUCCUAUUGCAUCAGACUACAACAUUUUUUGGUUCAAACUAGAACAUUUAUUUAACUUUAAAGGAUACAUACUUGUGUACAAGAUUGGAGCCAUCUCUGAGUUUGUAGGGUUUACAUACCUAACAAUCACCAAUCUAGUUUCCACUAGUGAUCGACCGAUAUGGGUGUUUUAAUGGUCGAUACAGAUGCUGAUAUUCCUGAGAGCAGGGUGGCCGAUAGGUGGAGAUAAUGCAGAUAUAUCACACAAUUUAAUAUUUUAAAUAACAUGCAUAAAAGUGUUUAAAAAAAAUUAUAAACUCUUAUUUAGCACUUUGUUUACUAAAAAUGUCAUGCGAAACUUUGUUUUUUAAAUAUUGUUUAAAAAAGAUAAGAUAGCAAUUUCUUUGUUAUUUGCACAAGACAUUGUUAAUAUAUAAGGAAGAAGGAUAUAACAGUGCACACAAUAGUCAGGCAACCCCGGAUGGCAUGUGUGCAUUAAAGGUAACUUUUUGAUUGUCAUCUUGGACUUACAGUGACACCUAGUGGUGUGGAUGCAGCAUCUUUCAAAAUCAAUAGGUUGACGGCUUUAAUAAAAGCACUUGACAGAAAAAAACACUGUGUUUUCAUGAGGUUGUGAAUUACAUCCGUUUAAACGAGAUAUCCGCAUAUUUGUAGAAGAUAUAGUAUAAUAGUUUUAUUGAUAUUUGCCUUUUUAUUAUUGGACAAGACUGUUAAAAGUUAAAGGGAACUGUGAGCUCUUUAACAUUAUGAGCUCCAACGCAUCUGUCGCGGCUCUUAUAUGUGGACCUCUAAAUGAGACUGUUGUACACUGGUCAAUUAUCGUAGUAACUCGACGGCAUGUAACAACAAAACGACUGUGAUUGGUUGUUUACAUGUCACAGACGGCUCCUUCACGUGCAAGCAGGCGAUUUUCAGUGGUCUUAAGAAACAAAUGGUCCAAACGGGACUUUUUAAAUGUGGAACCUAGUGGUGGACGAUAUUCAGAAUUUUUUAAUUAUCGGCAUCAACCGAUUUAUCGGCCUUGGCGAAAUAUCGUCGACCACUAGUUUCCACUUUUAAACCACAAAUUAAAUACAGCUGAGAACCUAAGUGGUUGUUUUAUUGUUAGCUGUAGUUUAAGUGUGCAACUGUCUUGUCAGUGUGUAGUUGUGUAUGUAAUCUCUGGGUUUUUGCCCAAGGAGACGUAACUCUGGCCAUGAUGCCAUUGUUGUGCCAAAAGUGGGCAUAAAGAAACUGGCUUGUGAUCGACCCUACUGUCCUGUAUGGUGGACCAGGGGCUUGGAACGGGGCCAGAUAACCCACCCCUACCAAUACAGACUCAAGCAGUUGAAGAACAUGGACAGCUGAACGACUCUGCAGUCAGCUUAACUAAGACGUGGAAAAAAGCUACAAACCUUGCUGAACGAAAUAUCUACAUCAACACCUGAUCAGCAUCAUCAACAUCAACACUGACUUCUUUGUAAAGAAUGAUAUAAUUCAGUGACUACUUCUGAAAUGAACCUCUUUUUUUAUUAUUAAUACAAUAAUAAAGUACAUUUAAAUAAAAUAAAUCACAGCUUGUGCAAGUUUUAUUUCCAGUCUAUAUCUGUAAGUGUACAGGUUUUGGUCCUGUUAGUAAAACCUUGAGGUGGAUUUGUGACGCUUCCUUGCACUAAUAUAUGCAGAUUCCUUGUUUCUUUUAAAAGGUUUGUAAAAGGAUACGUGCAGAUCUCCAUCCAUCCAUCUUCAACCGCUUAUCCGAAGUCGGGUCGCGGGGGCAGCUGCUCCAGCAGGGGGCCCCAAACUUCCCUAUCCCGAGCCACAUUAACCAACUCUGACUGGGGGACCCCGAGGCGUUCCCAGGCCAGUGUGGAGAUGUAAUCUCUCCACCUAAUCCUGGGUCUUCCCCAAGGCCUCCUCCCAGCUGGACGUUCCUGAAACACCUCCGUAGGGAGGCGGCCAUGGGGCAUCCUUCCCAGAUGCCCAAACCACCUCAACU
Molecule: long non-coding RNA, 2426 nt
Organism: Xyrauchen texanus (razorback sucker)
Lineage: Eukaryota; Metazoa; Chordata; Actinopteri; Cypriniformes; Catostomidae
Exons: 3
Source: RefSeq, a predicted model, not a curated record